GACGAACGCUGGCGGCGUGCCUAAUACAUGCAAGUAGAACGCACAGUUUAUACCUUAGCUUGCUACACCAUAGACUGUGAGUUGCUAACGGGUGAGUAACGCGUAGGUAACCUGCCUGUUAGCGGGGGAUAACUAUUUGAAACGAUAGCUAAUACCUCAUAAUAUUGAUUAUUGCAUGAUAAUUGAUUGAAAGAUGCUAUUGCAUCACUACCAGAUGGACCUGCGUUGUAUUAGCUAGUAGGUGAGGUAACGGCUCACCUAGGCGACGAUACAUAGCCGACCUGAGAGGGUGAUCGGCCACACUGGGACUGAGACACGGCACAGACUCCUACGGGAGGCAGCAGUAGGGAAUCUUAGGCAAUGGACGAAAGUCUGACCGAGCAACGCCGCGUGAGUGAAGAAGGUUUUCGGAUCGGAAAGCUCUGUUGUAAGAGAAGAACGGGUGUGAGAGUGGAAAGUUCACACUGUGACGGUAUCUUACCAGAAAGGGACGGCUAACUACGU
Molecule: ribosomal RNA, 504 nt
Filed under: uncultured bacterium
Lineage: Bacteria
Description: partial 16S ribosomal RNA
Rfam family: Bacterial small subunit ribosomal RNA
Source: RNAcentral